GGGUGGAGUAAUGCUUAGGGAAUCUGCCUAUUAGUGGGGGACAACAUUCCGAAAGGAAUGUUAAUUCCGCAUACGUCCUACGGGAGAAAGCAGGGGAUCUUCGGACCUUGCGCUAAUAGAUGAGCCUAAGUCGGAUUAGCUAGUUGGUGGGGUAAAGGCCUACCAAGGCGACGAUCUGUAGCGGGUCUGAGAGGAUGAUCCGCCACACUGGGACUGAGACACGGCCCAGACUCCUACGGGAGGCAGCAGUGGGGAAUAUUGGACAAUGGGGGGAACCCUGAUCCAGCCAUGCCGCGUGUGUGAAGAAGGCCUUAUGGUUGUAAAGCACUUUAAGCGAGGAGGAGGCUACUGAGACUAAUACUCUUGGAUAGUGGACGUUACUCGCAGAAUAAGCACCGGCUAACUCUGUGCCAGCAGCCGCGGUAAUACAGAGGGUGCGAGCGUUAAUCGGAUUUACUGGGCGUAAAGCGUGCGUAGGCGGCUUUUUAAGUCGGAUGUGAAAUCCCCGAGCUUAACUUGGGAAUUGCAUUCGAUACUGGGAAGCUAGAGUAUGGGAGAGGAUGGUAGAAUUCCAGGUGUAGCGGUGAAAUGCGUAGAGAUCUGGAGGAAUACCGAUGGCGAAGGCAGCCAUCUGGCCUAAUACUGACGCUGAGGUACGAAAGCAUGGGGAGCAAACAGGAUUAGAUACCCUGGUAGUCCAUGCCGUAAA
This 709-nucleotide ribosomal RNA is filed under the name Acinetobacter junii. Its description in RNAcentral is "bacterial SSU rRNA". It matches the Rfam family "Bacterial small subunit ribosomal RNA", at positions 100 to 806 of the family's 1533-position model. The record is from RNAcentral. Lineage: Bacteria; Pseudomonadati; Pseudomonadota; Gammaproteobacteria; Moraxellales; Moraxellaceae.